ACAAAGUUAGUCCACAUAAAUUUGUUAGUGUUUAUAUUCAAACAACACACGUGACGGACCUGACUAAACCUCAUUGGUUCUUGGGAUUCAGUACGUCACAUUGGCUUCCUGAUUCAGUUGUUCGAUACACAACGUGCGUGAUCGUUGGUAAUAUGGAUUAAAAGUUGAAACUAAAACUGUUAAAUUAUAUAUAGUGAUCAUCAGAGGACUUGGCUGAAACAACGCGAUUCACAUGGAUUACUUCGGCGAUGUUUUUUAUUGCUGUUGCGAUUAACUUUUUGAAAUGUGAGCAGUUUUUAAGUAGGUUAUCAAGUGGAUCUGACAUCGAGGGGAAAUAUACGUUUCUUGGAUUUCAUUAAAGUACAUCGGUUUUUGUUUGAAGAUGAAUGAGAGAACAUGAGGCACAGCGGCAUUCAAAUUGACCAAUCAGAGCCGAGAAUAUCUAAUAAGUCGAAGUAGAGAUGAACAGAUGAAGAUACAGCCCGUAAAAAUACUUAUUCUUGGUGAGUGCCAUGUAGCGACGGAUCAAACGAACACUCAUGUCAAGCUUGAUGAGGACACAG
Paramisgurnus dabryanus is the source of this 563-nucleotide non-coding RNA. Lineage: Eukaryota; Metazoa; Chordata; Actinopteri; Cypriniformes; Cobitidae. The record is from RefSeq and is a predicted model, not a curated record.